UAGGGAAUAUUGGACAAUGGGGGCAACCCUGAUCCAGCCAUGCCGCGUGAGUGAAGAAGGCCCUCGGGUUGUAAAGCUCUUUUGUCCGGAAAGAAAAGCAUUCGGUGAAUACCCGGAUGUUCUGACGGUACCGGAAGAAUAAGCACCGGCUAACUUCGUGCCAGCAGCCGCGGUAAUACGAAGGGUGCAAGCGUUACUCGGAAUUACUGGGCGUAAAGCGUGCGUAGGUGGUUGUUUAAGUCUGAUGUGAAAGCCCUGGGCUCAACCUGGGAAUGGCAUUGGAAACUGGCAGCUAGAGUGCGGUAGAGGGUAGUGGAAUUCCCGGUGUAGCAGUGAAAUGCGUAGAGAUCGGGAGGAACAUCUGUGGCGAAGGCGACUGCCUGGACCAGCACUGACACUGAGGCACGAAAGCGUGGGGAGCAAACA
RNAcentral lists this ribosomal RNA (426 nucleotides) under uncultured bacterium. RNAcentral's name for it is "bacterial SSU rRNA". It matches the Rfam family "Bacterial small subunit ribosomal RNA", at positions 355 to 774 of the family's 1533-position model. The record is from RNAcentral.